Molecule: ribosomal RNA, 494 nt
Filed under: uncultured bacterium
Lineage: Bacteria
Description: partial 16S ribosomal RNA
Rfam family: Bacterial small subunit ribosomal RNA
Source: RNAcentral
GACGAACGCUGGCGGCGUGCUUAACACAUGCAAGUCGAACGGUGAAGCGCCUUCCUUUUUGGUGGGUGUGGAUGAGUGGCGAACGGGUGAGUAACACGUGAGUAACCUGCCCCCUUCUUCUGGAUAACCGCAUGAAAGUGUGGCUAAUACGGGAUAUUCUGGGUCUGUCGCAUGAUGGGUCUGUGAAAGAUAUUGUUUCGGUGGGUGAUGGGCUCGCGGCCUAUCAGCUUGUUGGUGGGGUGAUGGCCUACCAAGGCGGUGACGGGUAGCCGGCCUGAGAGGGUGGACGGUCACACUGGGACUGAGACACGGCCCAGACUCGUACGGGAGGCAGCAGUGGGGAAUAUUGCACAAUGGGCGCAAGCCUGAUGCAGCGACGCCGCGUGAGGGAUGGAGGCCUUCGGGUUGUGAACCUCUUUCGCCAGUGAAGCAGGCCUGCCUCGUUUGUGGGUGGGUUGACGGUAGCUGGAUAAGAAGCGCCGGCUAACUACGUG